RNAcentral lists this ribosomal RNA (1041 nucleotides) under Salmonella enterica. RNAcentral's name for it is "bacterial SSU rRNA". It matches the Rfam family "Bacterial small subunit ribosomal RNA", at positions 1 to 1031 of the family's 1533-position model. RNAcentral also lists the same sequence under 1 other name. Lineage: Bacteria; Pseudomonadati; Pseudomonadota; Gammaproteobacteria; Enterobacterales; Enterobacteriaceae. The record is from RNAcentral.
AAAUUGAAGAGUUUGAUCAUGGCUCAGAUUGAACGCUGGCGGCAGGCCUAACACAUGCAAGUCGAACGGUAACAGGAAGCAGCUUGCUGCUUUGCUGACGAGUGGCGGACGGGUGAGUAAUGUCUGGGAAACUGCCUGAUGGAGGGGGAUAACUACUGGAAACGGUGGCUAAUACCGCAUAACGUCGCAAGACCAAAGAGGGGGACCUUCGGGCCUCUUGCCAUCAGAUGUGCCCAGAUGGGAUUAGCUUGUUGGUGAGGUAACGGCUCACCAAGGCGACGAUCCCUAGCUGGUCUGAGAGGAUGACCAGCCACACUGGAACUGAGACACGGUCCAGACUCCUACGGGAGGCAGCAGUGGGGAAUAUUGCACAAUGGGCGCAAGCCUGAUGCAGCCAUGCCGCGUGUAUGAAGAAGGCCUUCGGGUUGUAAAGUACUUUCAGCGGGGAGGAAGGUGUUGCGGUUAAUAACCGCAGCAAUUGACGUUACCCGCAGAAGAAGCACCGGCUAACUCCGUGCCAGCAGCCGCGGUAAUACGGAGGGUGCAAGCGUUAAUCGGAAUUACUGGGCGUAAAGCGCACGCAGGCGGUCUGUCAAGUCGGAUGUGAAAUCCCCGGGCUCAACCUGGGAACUGCAUUCGAAACUGGCAGGCUUGAGUCUUGUAGAGGGGGGUAGAAUUCCAGGUGUAGCGGUGAAAUGCGUAGAGAUCUGGAGGAAUACCGGUGGCGAAGGCGGCCCCCUGGACAAAGACUGACGCUCAGGUGCGAAAGCGUGGGGAGCAAACAGGAUUAGAUACCCUGGUAGUCCACGCCGUAAACGAUGUCUACUUGGAGGUUGUGCCCUUGAGGCGUGGCUUCCGGAGCUAACGCGUUAAGUAGACCGCCUGGGGAGUACGGCCGCAAGGUUAAAACUCAAAUGAAUUGACGGGGGCCCGCACAAGCGGUGGAGCAUGUGGUUUAAUUCGAUGCAACGCGAAGAACCUUACCUGGUCUUGACAUCCACAGAAGAAUCCAGAGAUGGAUUUGUGCCUUCGGGAACUGUG